Molecule: ribosomal RNA, 253 nt
Filed under: uncultured bacterium
Lineage: Bacteria
Description: partial 16S ribosomal RNA
Rfam family: Bacterial small subunit ribosomal RNA
Source: RNAcentral
UACAGAGGUCCCGAGCGUUGUUCGGAUUCAUUGGGCGUAAAGGGUGCGUAGGCGGCGGGGUAAGUCUGAUGUGAAAUCCUGGGGCUCAACCCCAGAACUGCAUUGGAUACUGCCUUGCUAGAGUACUGGAGAGGAAACUGGAAUUUACGGUGUAGCAGUGAGAUGCGUAGAGAUCGUAAGGAAGACCAGUGGCGAAGGCGAGUUUCUGGACAGUAACUGACGCUGAGGCACGAAGGCCAGGGGAGCAAACGGG